This 750-nucleotide ribosomal RNA is filed under the name uncultured prokaryote. RNAcentral describes it as "bacterial SSU rRNA". It matches the Rfam family "Bacterial small subunit ribosomal RNA", at positions 28 to 796 of the family's 1533-position model. The record is from RNAcentral.
GAUGAACGCUGACAGAAUGCUUAACACAUGCAAGUCGAUUCAAGUUACCUUCGGGUAAUGAGGAUGGCGGACGGGUGAGUAACGCGUAAGGAACUUGCCUCUUGGUCUGGGACAACUGUUGGAAACGACAGCUAAUACCGGAUAUUAUGAGAUUCUCGCAUGGGAAACUUAUGAAAGCUAUAUGCGCCAAGAGAGAGCCUUGCGUUCCAUUAGCUAGUUGGUGGGGUAACGGCCCACCAAGGCGACGAUGGAUAGCCGGCCUGAGAGGGUGAACGGCCACAAGGGGACUGAGACACGGCCCUUACUCCUACGGGAGGCAGCAGUGGGGAAUAUUGGACAAUGGGCCACAAGCCUGAUCCAGCAAUUCUGUGUGCACGAUGAAGGUCUUCGGAUUGUAAAGUGCUUUCAGUUGGGAAGAAGAAAGUGACGGUACCAACAGAAGAAGCGACGGCUAAAUACGUGCCAGCAGCCGCGGUAAUACGUAUGUCGCAAGCGUUAUCCGGAUUUAUUGGGCGUAAAGCGCGUCUAGGCGGAAAAAUAAGUCUGAUGUUAAAAUGCGGGGCUCAACUCCGUAUUGCGUUGGAAACUGUUUUUCUAGAGUACUGGAGAGGUGGGCGGAACUACAAGUGUAGAGGUGAAAUUCGUAGAUAUUUGUAGGAAUGCCGAUGGAGAAGUCAGCUCACUGGACAGAUACUGACGCUAAAGCGCGAAAGCGUGGGGAGCAAACAGGAUUAGAUACCCUGGUAGNCC